GACGAACGCUGGCGGCGUGCCUAAUACAUGCAAGUAGAACGCUGAAGGAGGAGCUUGCUUCUCUGGAUGAGUUGCGAACGGGUGAGUAACGCGUAGGUAACCUGCCUGGUAGCGGGGGAUAACUAUUGGAAACGAUAGCUAAUACCGCAUAAGAGUAGAUGUUGCAUGACAUUUGCUUAAAAGGUGCAAUUGCAUCACUACCAGAUGGACCUGCGUUGUAUUAGCUAGUUGGUGGGGUAACGGCUCACCAAGGCGACGAUACAUAGCCGACCUGAGAGGGUGAUCGGCCACACUGGGACUAGACACGGCCCAGACUCCUACGGGAGGCAGCAGUAGGGAAUCUUCGGCAAUGGACGGAAGUCUGACCGAGCAACGCCGCGUGAGUGAAGAAGGUUUUCGGAUCGUAAAGCUCUGUUGUAAGAGAAGAACGAGUGUGAGAGUGGAAAGUUCACACUGUGACGGUAGCUUACCAGAAAGGGACGGCUAACUACGUG
RNAcentral lists this ribosomal RNA (494 nucleotides) under uncultured bacterium. RNAcentral describes it as "partial 16S ribosomal RNA". It matches the Rfam family "Bacterial small subunit ribosomal RNA", at positions 28 to 507 of the family's 1533-position model. The record is from RNAcentral.